UACGAAGGGGGCUAGCGUUGCUCGGAAUCACUGGGCGUAAAGGGUGCGUAGGCGGGUCUUUAAGUCAGGGGUGAAAUCCUGGAGCUCAACUCCAGAACUGCCUUUGAUACUGAAGAUCUUGAGUUCGGGAGAGGUGAGUGGAAUUGCGAGUGUAGAGGUGAAAUUCGUAGAUAUUCGCAAGAACACCAGUGGCGAAGGCGGCUCACUGGCCCGAUACUGACGCUGAGGCACGAAAGCGUGGGGAGCAAACAGG
RNAcentral lists this ribosomal RNA (253 nucleotides) under uncultured bacterium. Its description in RNAcentral is "partial 16S ribosomal RNA". It matches the Rfam family "Bacterial small subunit ribosomal RNA", at positions 524 to 776 of the family's 1533-position model. The record is from RNAcentral.